This 696-nucleotide ribosomal RNA is filed under the name uncultured Candidatus Saccharibacteria bacterium. RNAcentral's name for it is "bacterial SSU rRNA". It matches the Rfam family "Bacterial small subunit ribosomal RNA", at positions 777 to 1499 of the family's 1533-position model. The record is from RNAcentral. Lineage: Bacteria; Candidatus Saccharimonadota.
AUUAGAUACCCUGGUAGUCCUCGCCGUAAACUAUGGAUGCUAGCUGUUAUUCGUAUCGACCCGAGUAGUAGCGAAGCUAACGCGUUAAGCAUCCCGCCUGUGGAGUACGGUCGCAAGACUAAAACAUAAAGGAAUUGACGGGGACCCGCACAAGCGGUGGAGCGUGUUGUUUAAUUCGAUGGUAAGCGAAGAACCUUACCCAGACUUGACAUCCUUGGAAGCACUGCGAAAGCAGAGUGUGCCUCCGGGAACCAAGUGACAGGUGUUGCAUGGCCGUCGUCAGCUCGUGUCGUGAGAUGUUUGGUUAAGUCCAUCAACGAGCGCAACCCUUGUGGCUAGUUGAAUUUUUCUAGUCAGACUGCCCUGGUAACAGGGAGGAAGGAGGGGAUGAUGUCAGGUCAGUAUUACCCUUACGUCUGGGGCUACAAACACGCUACAAUGGCCGGUACAAAGGGCUGCCAAGUCGCGAGACGGAGCAAAUCCCAUCAAAACCGGUCCCAGUUCGGAUUGCAGGCUGAAACUCGCCUGCAUGAAGUCGGAAUCGCUAGUAACGGUAGGUCAGCACACUACCGUGAAUACGUUCCCGGGUCUUGUACACACCGCCCGUCAAACCAUGAAAGUCGCCAAUACCUGACGUCUUAGCUAGUCUAGGCCUAAGGUAGGGGAGAUGAUUGGGGUUAAGUCGUAACAAGGUAA